ACUAAUACAUCUAAUUAAAGCCAACUGAUCAAAGCUGAUCACUUGAAGGAUGACAUUUUGUUUCUUUUAAUGAAUGCGGAAAUGUUCUAAGGUCUGCAGUUGGUAAGCUAUGUCCUUUUUUCUAGAAUCUGUGUCAUCCUUUAUCCCUCCAGUUUAAUGAAGCUCCUAGAGAACAGCGAGUACUGUUCUAGCAAUAAGCAUUUGUUGUAAGCCUAUCAAGAGGUUGGCACUGUAUUCCAGUGGGAAAUUAAGCAAACACAAAAACCACAAACUACUGAGGUUGAUGAAGCUUCUUUUUUAACUGUCAAGAGAAAUUCUGAAAAGAGCAGGGCAAACGUGAAGAGUUGUUUAACAGGGAUCCUUUGCUAAGCACGGGUUUAGCACUUUCAGUAUAACUCUAGUUCUCUUAAUACAAAAACUUGUUGACGUAGGUACUGUUAUCAUGUCCACUUAGCACAUGGGAAAACCUUUGAGAAAUGCCUGAGAUUCUAUGGUUAGUAACCAACCUUGCCAGGAUUUGAGCUUAGUUCUAAAACUUUUGUAGUUUACUUCUCCCCACCACAGAAACCUUUAGCCCUCCCUUGAGUGAUUUUAGGGCUAGGGAUAACUUACGUUGGCUUUUUCUAGCUUGACUCUUCCGCCUAAGGAAUAGGAAUCCUUCCUCUCGUUCUUCUGAUGGGAGUUGGUCUUUCUACAGAGAGAUCCAGGAACUGAGAUAUUCUAGCUCAUUUAAAAGACGUUUUCUCCUUUGAGAUUAAUAUUAUUCACUCUUAUCUAUUACAGAUAUCUGAAUUGAUUAAUCAGAUAUAUUGCAAUUGCUUAUUCUAUAAAGGAUAUUGGACGGUUUGCUCAAUUGAAUAUAGUAGACAAGCAAAUUUGUGUAUUAUCCCCUCCCAGGGUUUUGUUAUUAAUAGAUUUAGUAAAGAUGCCUCUUGUGUCUUUAUCUGAGUGAUACACAGUGUAUGGAGGUAGAGUACACAGAUUCCUGAGGCAUAUUUCUAAACCUGUACCCCAUCCCAAGAGUCUUCAAAUAUCCAUGAUUAAUUUCAACGUUAGCUGCCAAUUAAGAUGUUGAUGCCAAGAUAACCUAUGACAGUAUUUUUUUUCUCCCUCCAGGUUCCAUAAUCCAGUAACUUCAGAUGAUGGUAUCCUGUAGUGAUAAUGAUAGUGGAGUUUAUAUUCAAAAUAUGUCCUAGUUAAAGCUUUGUGGUCUUCCUGUAUAGCAAUUAUAAAGAAUGAGUGCUAAUCUCAUUCUUAAGGGUGGUCAUUAGGGUUAAAUAUUACACACCUGCAAAGUGUGUAGUACUCAGUAGACUCUCAGUCAUGACUGGGGUGUGAGUAUGGUAGGCUUUUAGCAUCCGGCGGGCUGCUAGUUUAUUUAAUCCUUAUCUUUCUGCAGGGAAAGCUUUGCCUUGAGAUAUUUGCUGAUUUCUGUGACAUAAAAUCUCCAUUUGACACUAAUUUCAAGCUACCACUACGGCACCAGUUGGGAAGCAGUAUGCACAAUCAAACAGUUCUUAGGAACUAGUGUUAGCUGGCUCCUGCAUGGCCCUGUGUGGCCAAUGCUUGCCACCUCCUCCCACUCACAAGGAAGAUUUGUAGCAUUAAUAUGUGAGUAAAAAGAUACACAGAAAACAAAUUGUAUUACAAGGACUCCCAUCAGGUGCAGAUAUUGUGUGAGAAAGAGAAGUGAUAACUUUAGCUGCUGCUUUCUCUCCUGGCACAGUGUGCUACUUAUUCUCCCCAGAGUUUGCUUUUUUGCCUUUUUUUGUUUCACUUUCUCCCCUUUAUCCUCUUCUUUCCAGCACACACUUUAUCCACCACUUACAAAUAUCAAUGGAAGAGAUAGAUUUUAUGAGAAAUUCUGACUUUCAAGGAAAAUUAUAAACUCAAGAUGCCAGUAUCUUAUCAAUACUAAGAAACAUAUAUAAAAGCAAAGAGUGGCCUGGCCGAAAUCUCUGACACCAAAAUUUUGGCAUAUGAAGAAUGGACUUGUUCAGUAUCUGGCUGUAUAGUCUUUCUAUGUAAAGACAAAUGUCAAAAUAGGACUGUUUUCGUGUUUUAACUCACCAUCAAUUCCAGAUUGUUCAGGACUUCUUGCAGGUUGCCUCCAGUGGUUCUGUGAAAACCAACAGCUGUUAGGUAGAUAUUGAAGAGAGGCUCCCUGGGUACUACCCUCCUGUUUUCUCCUCUAGGCACAGGUGGAGAUAUUUAUGCACAGGGAAAGAAAUAAAAGGCACGUGUCCAGGUUCCUUUCUAGCUGUCUCCUUAGAAAGCACUGCUCCCUGUACCAUCCUCAAAACACGACACAGCUGAGAAUUGGUCCAGAGCCACACACAGCGUUACUUUUUUCCUUUGCUGCCUGCUUCCUUCUGGCAUCUCUUUGGCAGGUGGCAACACACUCUGCUCCCUGAACAGCAUUGUCAAUGGAGACAGGGCUUGCUCGUUUUAUGUCAACUUGACACAAGCUAGAGUCAUCUGAGAAGACGGAGCCUCCCGUGAGAAAAUGCCUCCAUAUGAUCUGGCUUGAGCUGCUGGUCCUGGGUCCUAUGAGAAAGCAGGCUUCGUAAGCAAUAGGGAGCAAACCAGUAAGGGGCACUCCUUUAUGGGCUCUUCAUCCACUCCUGCCUUGAGGUUCCUUCCAGGUUUGAGUUCUUGUCCUGACUUCCAAGUGUGAGCCAAGUAAAACCUUUUCUUUCCAAGUUGCUUUGGUCAUGAUGCUUCAUUUCAGCAAUAGUAACUCUAAGACAGAGACCUUCUUUCAUGAUUAGUAAAUAUUCGGCAUUUUUGAUCAUGUCAGUAUUGACUUAUUCUAUGCUUCUAAGUUUAGAAGAAAAAUCCUUCCUUAACAUUUGACUAUUGCUGAUUUGGGGAACUAAUAAUGCCAGGAGAAUAGUGAAUAAACCAUUAGAUCAUAUAAUUCUUAUGUUAUUGGUAAAGCAUACCUUUUAAGUAUGCCAUAUUUUUAAUACCUCAUUAAGUUAGAAACCUAAUUGCAUGCUGUGUCUGGAUGUUGCUGCUCAAUUCAACCCACUUAUCAAAUAGCAUUUGUUUUUCAAUAGUUGUUAAUGUUGAUUUUUAAAGUUGGGAUUUUUAUCUUUUUUUUUUUUUUGAGCUAAAGGGCAUUGCCAUAGAGACACUGGCAAAGUGAAGAGGAGCUCUACACAAGAAUUCCAUAAGUAGAAACAAUUUAAAUUCAAAACUUUGUUAGUCACUCUUGUCAUCACAGCUUAACGCUAAGUUAAUUUUCAUGUAAGACAUCAAGCAAAUCAGAAAAUAGUACCAUUACAUCAUCAUCAUCAUCAUAUCUUUAUUUGUCUUCAAUCACCACCAUUGUUAUUAUAUUUAUUUUAUGGUUUGGAUUAAUUUACUCUUAAUAGAGCAUCAUAGUAUGAAAAUUAUUUGAUUACAGUGCUUGCUCUACCACCUGGUGAAGAAAGUGGGGUUAUUUCUGAUAUCUCAAGCACAGCAUUCUUUGUCCAAAGUAGUAUAACUUUUUCCCAGUAGGGUUCAGGUUUGACUGCAGUUCCAGCUCUAGCUAAAGCUCACCCUGAGAAGCAUCGUGUCCUGCUGACUCUAAAAUCCUCCUUUACUAAGCCUUAGAUUUCUUCUUCUUCUUCUUCUUCUUCUUCUUCUUCUUCUUCUUCUUCUUCUUCUUUUUCAUAAAUUCCAAAGGUUUUGCCAGAGGAGUUCUAGACAUUUGAUUUUAUCACCUUCAAAUGCAAACAUCAAUCC
This 3735-nucleotide long non-coding RNA is filed under the name Mus musculus (house mouse). RNAcentral describes it as "long non-coding RNA chr12:89748208-89751943". Lineage: Eukaryota; Metazoa; Chordata; Mammalia; Rodentia; Muridae. The record is from RNAcentral.